UGUCCAGAGUCACACAGCUAGGGUGUGUGUAUCUGAGGCUGGAUUUGAACUCAGGUCUUACUCCAGAUCUGGGGCUCUACCCACCGUACCACCCAGGUGUCCAGAUACUCAUAGGCGGGUUGUGGUUUUACAAAAAAUGUUCAGUUAGUAAAGUGCAAGCUUCAUAUAUGGAAAAGCAAUUAAUACAGUUGGAUGGAGUGUGGGACUCAUUCGGAGAAAUAGUGGAAGACCAAGCUGAAAAGGUUGAUUCGGACCAGAUUGGAGAAGGCCAGGCUAAGGAAUGUAGACUUCACUCAGCAGGCAGUAGGGAGCCGUGGUUGAGUUUUAAUGGGGGGGGGUGACCAGAGAAGGGCCACAGGGUUCCAGGGUGGCCCAUGUUGUAUGGAGGAAGGCAAUUUGGCAGCAGGAUGCGGGGUGGAUUGCAGUAUGGAGACAACAGAGGGGGAGAGGCCACUUAACCAGCUAGUGCCAUGAUCUAGGCUUGGACUGAUGGAGGCCUGAGCUCAGCUCUGGCAAGGAGAGCCAGGAGAGAAGGAGCAGCAGGAUGGACAUUGCCAAGGAAAAGUCGACAGGCCUUGGGGAGAAUGAGAAAACUGGGGAACAUUUUACAAGACAAGAGGGCAUUAAAUAAGCCCAGGGAACUUCUCGAGUUUCAAGUUCUAUUUGAUACUAGUUUGUCUGGGCCCCAGGUCACAGAUUAUGAGUCCUGAAUGAAAACUGAAAAGAAGUGGUGUACCCUGGAGGAUCUUGCUCCAUAAAUACUGAUACAGACCUUCUCACUUCACAGAAGUGGCCCGUUCUACAGAUCUCUAAGUGAAGUGGAUUUUUAGAAUCAGGAAGCUGCUGGUGCAGCGGAUACCCAGGAAGACUUGUGAUCGUGCCUCCGACACUUACCAGCUGUGUGACAUUUUCAUUCCUUUGUUCACUGGAAUUUCUCUCUAUGACUCUGCAUGGGGGUCUGUGAUCUUGCCUUAUGAAUAUGAGAAGUCCCUUUUGCAACUACAGAUGUCAUCAAGGAAUUGUAGAACAGGAAGAGAAGAUGGACGAGGCACAAGGCAAGAUGCCAGGCUUAUGCAGACUACAGACUGCAGAGAUGAUACAGUUGCCUUACAGUUCCCAGAGGCAGAACUAGCAGAAAAAUGCACACCAGGCUUUUCGUGUUUUCCCCAAUUACACGAAAGCUCUUCCUCUAAACUAUGUAAAAUAAAUGACCUCAAA
Non-coding RNA from Phascolarctos cinereus (koala), 1218 nucleotides. The record is from RefSeq and is a predicted model, not a curated record. Lineage: Eukaryota; Metazoa; Chordata; Mammalia; Diprotodontia; Phascolarctidae.